This 1019-nucleotide long non-coding RNA is filed under the name Felis catus (domestic cat). RNAcentral describes it as "lncRNA (ENSFCAG00000052172.1)". Lineage: Eukaryota; Metazoa; Chordata; Mammalia; Carnivora; Felidae. The record is from RNAcentral.
CCGCCCUGCGCGCAUAAAGCCCCGCGCUCGCCCGCGCGCCCGCGGAGGCGGCGGCGUCCGGACCCCGCUCCCGCCGGGCUCCCGGGUCCCUGAGGGCGCGAGAGACCCCGAAUCCCGAGGCGGGCCGGGACCAGGGCGCGGCCGCACCCCCCACCCAGCCCAGCGCGGGGGCCGGGCCGUGGGAACGCCCUCCCGGAAUGAAGCGCUUCCCGGUGCCUUCAAGAGUUCUAAGCCCAACCCCAUCGGAUUGGAAGAACCUAAGCCGCCUACCCACUGCGUUUGGAGUUACUUCUCUCAGUCCGCCUCAGUUUGAGAUUUACUCCCCAUGCAGGCAACCGCCUUCACUUCUCCUUUCUCCUCCCUACGCCUCCAUCUCCGGGUCUCUGAGAUCCCCUCCCGCACUUUCACCUAACGCUCCUGGGAGCCACCUCACCCUCCCCGAAAACUACCUCCCUCCAGCCAGGGAACUCUAACAUCCAUUCCAGAUCACCCGCGGAGCCAGGGGCCACCCUCCCUAACCCCACCUCACCACAUCCAUCUCCUCUCAAUUCCCUGGCUGAGACCAGCCAAGAAAGGGUCAAAGCUGGAGGCUAAGACAGCCACUCCCCCCACAUCCCCAUCCCUGCUGGGGAUCUCAGUGCCACACUAGCCCCUCCCUCCCAACUCACCUCCCAGUCCUGCCCCCUUCCCCACCUUAAAUCCACCCCGUAUAACCCAGUGACAACACUCGAUGGCAAGCCCCGUGCUGCUCACCUUGACAUCCAUCCUUCAGUCCGCCACAUUUUAUUAAUGUGUGCAGCAGUUCUGGGUGGCAUAACCUUGACCUCUGAAAAGGUGCCCAUCCCCCUCCUCUCAGUACACCUUCCCUCCCGCCCACCCCAACCACCGCGCGUAUAAGAACGUGAGAGACUCAAGUUAAUGGUUUCCUUGGGGACCUUCUGGGAACACUCAGCAGGUAUAUCCUGCCACCCUGGGCGCAUAACACUAGAAACAAACUUGCUUUUUCCUGUUUUUAUUGU